RNAcentral lists this ribosomal RNA (440 nucleotides) under uncultured bacterium. Its description in RNAcentral is "partial 16S ribosomal RNA". It matches the Rfam family "Bacterial small subunit ribosomal RNA", at positions 338 to 795 of the family's 1533-position model. The record is from RNAcentral.
CCUACGGGAGGCAGCAGUGGGGAAUAUUGCACAAUGGGGGAAACCCUGAUGCAGCGACGCCGCGUGAGUGAAGACGUAACUCGUUACGUAAAGCUCUAUCAGUAGGGAAGUAAAUGACGGUACCUGAGUAAGAAGCCACGGCUAACUACGUGACAGCAGCCGCAGUAACACGGAGGGGGCAAGCGUUAUCCGGAUUUACUGGGUGUAAAGGGAGCGUAGACGGUGCGCCAAGUCUGGAGUGAAAUGCCGCAGCUUAACUGCGGAACUGCUGUGGAAACUGGCGAACUAGAGUGCGGGAAGGGUAAGCGGAAUUCGUGGUGUAGCGGUGAAAUGCGUAGAUAUUAGGAGGAACACCGGUGGCGAAGGCGGCUUACUGGAGCGUAACUGACGUUGAGGCUCGAAGGCGUGGGGAUCGAACAGGAUUAGAUACCCUAGUAGUC